Small nuclear RNA from Ailuropoda melanoleuca (giant panda), 104 nucleotides. Lineage: Eukaryota; Metazoa; Chordata; Mammalia; Carnivora; Ursidae. The record is from Ensembl.
GUGCUUGCUUCAGCAGCACAUAUACUAAAACUGGAAUAACACAGAGAUUAUCAUGGCCCCUGCACAAGGAUGACAUGCAAAUCCAUGAAGUGUUCAGUAUUUUU